This 519-nucleotide ribosomal RNA is filed under the name uncultured eukaryote. RNAcentral describes it as "SSU rRNA". It matches the Rfam family "Eukaryotic small subunit ribosomal RNA", at positions 1161 to 1698 of the family's 1831-position model. The record is from RNAcentral.
AGGGCACCACCAGGAGUGGAGCCUGCGGCUUAAUUUGACUCAACACGGGAAAACUCACCCGGCCCGGACACUGGAAGGAUUGACAGAUUGAGAGCUCUUUCUUGAUUCAGUGGGUGGUGGUGCAUGGCCGUUCUUAGUUGGUGGAGUGAUUUGUCUGGUUAAUUCCGAUAACGAACGAGACUCUAGCCUACUAAAUAGAUCGUCGGCUUACAAACGCCGACGAGACUUCUUAGAGGGACAGGCGGUGAUUCAACCGCACGAAACAGAGCAAUAACAGGUCUGUGAUGCCCUUAGAUGUCCGGGGCCGCACGCGCGCUACACUGAAGUGAUCAGCGUGCUUUUGUCAACCUACUCUGUCGAGAGUGGGGAACCCAAUGAACCUUCUUCGUGAUUGGGAUAGGGGAUUGUAAUUAUUCCCCUUGAACGAGGAAUUCCCAGUAAGCGCGAGUCAUAAGCUCGCGUUGAUUACGUCCCUGCCCUUUGUACACACCGCCCGUCGCUACUACCGAUUGAAUGUUU